AGAUGAUCUUCUGAGCUUUCAAUUUAAUUGCUGUCACUGAAUUGAUAAGAUUAAUUAAGAAAACUAAUUCUGAAUUUCUACCUUCCCUGUCAGAACAGAUUUCUGGUCAAGUCAUAAAAGAUCCAGUCCAUGCUAGGGAUAUUAGUGGUACUAGAAAAGCAUCUUUGAAAACUAUUACUUUCCAAGUAUGUUGUAACUCUAGAAAAGUAUGUAAAACUUUGGAUUGAAAGGCAAUCUUGGGCAAAAUGUUACAUUUUAUUCUGACUCUAUUUUUCUACUGACACUAUUUUUGGUACAAAGAGUUCUUUCUAUUGCAGAAAAUAUAUUUCAGACCCUUUGUCCUUGCCAGACAGCAGUAGAGCAAACAGCUCCCCACCACCACUUUUUUUUUUCUUUUUUUUUUUUUUAACUUAACAAACUAGGAACAUACAGCAGGGAGAUGAGUAAGCAGGCAACAAAGGAAGGUUUCCGAUUAACAAGCAGAAUGAAACCAGCACCCCCACAUCAGAGUAAAAAAGUUCCAUGUUAAAAUUCAACUUAUCUAAAGCUCAAUGUGUUUAAGGAAUGAUGUUCUUCUCCAGGCCAGUUCUCCCUAUGCACUUCUCUUGUUUUCCUUCCACCUGACCAAGCAGCAGCCAGAAAAGCAGGACUUUCAUUACAUGCCAAGAAUAGGGCUCCAUGAACCUCCAUCUUGUCCACCAGUGUCCUGUGAAAGACACCAUGAUGCUGUGGUCGUAACCACCAAUACUAAAAGAAAAUGGAUUGAGAAGGAAAGCAAUUCACAGCAGGAUUCCAGGCACUCCAGGUACCACUCAGCACAUGCCAUGUGAUUUUACAGAGUGGUAGAACUACAGUCUCAGUUCCACAGGCUGGAAAAUAAGAUGGAGAGAGAUUAAACAAUUUCCCCCAGACUGCACUGAAAAUCUGCUUUGAGGAGGUUCAGUUCUCCAGAGCAACAAUCCAAUGCCUUACUCCUGAAUUUUUGAAAAUACAAGAGCAAGUAUUAAAGCUGAAA
Molecule: long non-coding RNA, 1015 nt
Filed under: Anas platyrhynchos platyrhynchos (common mallard)
Lineage: Eukaryota; Metazoa; Chordata; Aves; Anseriformes; Anatidae
Description: lncRNA (ENSAPLG00000025383.1)
Source: RNAcentral